GCACUCUGUGGAGACAAAAAUCAACACAAUCCAUCCACCAAAUCCUGUGCAAACCAACAACUAAACAAAAGAAGGUGCCGUUUUUAUAGACCAACUCCUAUGAAAACAGUGUUUAUUGGUGUUGUGAGCAGGACCUUGUGUCAUAAAUAUAAACAAAAACUACGCUUAAAACUGCAUUUCUGAGUAUUUCUAGCUUCAGAUUGUUGUGAAUUGGGAGCAAACGAAAAAAACGCUGUUGGUUUUUUUGUGACGUAGAAAUUACGCUUUAUUAAACAGAACCUAAAAUAACAAAAUUCCCAUAAACCCUUCUUACAUGCUGGGUCAGUCUGUUGGAAUAAACCAGUGUCGAGUAAAUAUCCAUUAACAAAAACCUUCAAGUACUUUUUAACUGCACCACCUAACAAAUAGUCCACUUUUUGUGAACAAAGAGCGAUCUAAACUGAAAAAACAAAUGACCAUACUGUAAGCUGUAAGCGGAAUAACGGCUGCAUCAUCAGAAAUCAACGCACGCCGUGGGAGCCUGAACCAUCCCACGUGAUGAAUCCGUGUCUGAAUUGUUUUAAAGAUGCAGGGUACUAGAUCGUCCCGCAGUGUGUCGUUUUUUAGGAGUUAGGGCGGGAAUUCUGACACAACCUAAGCCCAUCCUCAGCUCGUGACCCUUGAACUCGUGUGGAAGAUUGAUGCCAACCCUUUUCUGCCUAAAUUGAGGGAUGACUGGUCUAAAUUGCCCUCUUCUGGGAUCAAAAUGUGCAUGACCAGUCAAGGACUUGAGCGGGUAGAACAAACAACUGCUGUAGCCCUGAAGAGUUUAAUCUAAUCGGACUCAUGAGUGGAGGAGCUGCUGGCCUCGACUCCACCAAAACACAGAGUGUGUGAACAACUACUGUGUGCGAAGGACGACACUUACUGCUCAUCCCUUCAUGACCUCAGCAUUUGCACUACCCCCACCCCCACCCCGUCUGUGCAUUGUCUGGAAGAUGUGGAAGAGGUGGGGGACCUAUUGAGAACUGUUAUGUUGGCUGCGUGUGUGCUUCUGUGUUUGAAUGGCAUCUACAUAUUGUAGAUAAGCAGUGUUGAGAUACGACUUUUUUUUUUACGUCACUAUGCCCCCCUCCCGGUAUUGUAAUCCAUCUACAGCCACGCUAAACAAGCCCCGCCCACCACAGCUGCACCUCAGCCAUGGUAAGCCUCUUUGGAUCAUGUUGUCAUGAUUGUUUCCAAACCUGAGUACAGUGUGAAUCACUCAAUACUUUUAUUUACUUAAAUAAAUAUUUGAAUGAAUUUGUAAUUAUUGCUUCACAGCUAAACAAGCUGGACUUUACAUUCAUACAAAAGAAACUGAGGAUCCUCCUGAUGAACAUCAAGAGGUCAAACAUGAAUCUUUCAGCAGCAGAGACAGAAACACACAAAGGACGGGCUUCUCUUUGGACAGCUUCUUGGCCACCUUCUUAGCCAGCUCCAGUGUUUCUGCCUCGCACGGCGAGGACGGGGACGCCAUCUUGGCCAGUUCGGCCAGCAGGACGGGA
Molecule: non-coding RNA, 1526 nt
Organism: Oryzias latipes (Japanese medaka)
Lineage: Eukaryota; Metazoa; Chordata; Actinopteri; Beloniformes; Adrianichthyidae
Source: RefSeq, a predicted model, not a curated record